Molecule: non-coding RNA, 1064 nt
Organism: Jatropha curcas
Lineage: Eukaryota; Viridiplantae; Streptophyta; Magnoliopsida; Malpighiales; Euphorbiaceae
Source: RefSeq, a predicted model, not a curated record
UAUUUUUAUAAUAGUAAAAUGCCUUUGACGCAGUUGAAUAAAAUGGCUUUUCCGUUAGUCGGAAUGGCAAGUUCAUGACAUGUGGACCUUUUUUUAUUAAUUUUUUAAUUAAAAAAAAAAACUCUAUAAUCCUGCUCGUGUUCUUUCUCUCACUUCAUGCGACAUGAAGUCUCUUCUUUUCUUCCAACAGCGCUAACGUCUCUCCUUCGUUGCGGUCGAUUUCCGGUGAAGAAAGAGACAGUGAGACCAACAACGACCUCGUACCCUUUUCUCUUUGUCUCUCUCUCGUGUCCACAAAGCCCGUAUCAUUAGUUCUGGUGAUUUUGCCCGGCUGCGGUUUGGGUAGCCAUGAAAACCGAUAAGCUCAAGCUAUUUCAGGCUAAAGAUCCGCACCUUUGACGAUUGAGCACACCAAUAGCGUCGGCUCAACGCAAAGAAUAAUAAAAUCGACUCCAUUAUCGCAGAUCAAGGUCGUCAUCUCAAACGGUCAUGGAGACAGUUGUGUUCCAGCGAGAUUUCCUCCAACUCCGGCGAGAGCAAGGUCGCCAACAAAGCUAACUUAAUCAAUAAAGCAAGUCAGAUUUAUUUGUCCCCAGGGAGGGGACAGAUUUAUUGGCUACUUAUGUUGAUUUCUGGGUAAGAAAGUGGAGAAAUAGCUCAGUAGAAGUACAGAUGAGGAAGAAAGCUUCUGAUGUGCCUUAUUGAUUAUUUUGAUUGGCAAAUUGAAGGCAUUGAUGAUUUUGAUUGGCAAAUUGAAGAUGUGAGAGAGAAAAAUGUUUUUUCUCAAAGAAAAAGAGGUUUUCGUUCUCAAAGGGAGAGAAAAGAUUGCAGAAGAUGUGAGCGAAAGAGGCUGAGCCGGAGGAGAGAAGGUUUUUUCUAAUUAAAAAAUUAAUAAAAAAAGAUCCACGUGUUGCACACAUGUCAUUCCGCCGAACGGAAAUAGGCUAAAGUGAUUGCAUACAUGUCACUUAAUUUCAUUAAAUCCAAUGAUUAUAUAGUAAAAUUUAUAUGAAUUUUUGAAACAAAUUAUAUUAAAUAUAUGUAAAAUAUGAUUUGAAAGUAAA